UACGGAGGGUGCGAGCGUUGUCCGGAAUCACUGGGCGUAAAGGGCGCGUAGGCGGCCUGAUAAGUAGGGGGUGAAAUCCUGCGGCUUAACCGCAGGGCUGCCUUCUAAACUGUCAGGCUCGAGCACAGUAGAGUCAGGUGGAAUUCCCGGUGUAGCGGUGGAAUGCGUAGAGAUCGGGAAGAACAUCAGUGGCGAAGGCGGCCUGCUGGGCUGUUGCUGACGCUGAGGCGCGACAGCGUGGGGAGCAAACAGG
Molecule: ribosomal RNA, 253 nt
Filed under: uncultured bacterium
Lineage: Bacteria
Description: partial 16S ribosomal RNA
Rfam family: Bacterial small subunit ribosomal RNA
Source: RNAcentral